This is a long non-coding RNA of Dicentrarchus labrax (European seabass), 1416 nucleotides long. RefSeq lists it as uncharacterized. NCBI's taxonomy places the organism in Eukaryota, Metazoa, Chordata, Actinopteri, Moronidae. The record is from RefSeq and is a predicted model, not a curated record. The transcript is spliced from 5 exons.
CACUUUCAAGAGAGUUGACAGUGACAGAUACACUUUCAUUGUCUCACAUUGUCCUGUUUAUGAACUAUACUGAUCCGACAGUGGACAUGAUGACACCUGUGACACUUUGUGUUCUGCUGUUUGUGGGAACUGUUACCGGGGACGAUCCUACAGCACAGAUGGAUCGAUACAGAGACAGGACGACUCUCAACCAUGAAGAGCUGAGCAGAGGAAUCGUGACCCUGCUGAUCUCCUCAGUACAACUGUCUGACAGCGGGCUGUACAAAUGCUACAUCCCAAAGCUGAAGGUUGGUUGUACCAUCAAACUCACUGUCGUAGAAGAAGACCAACAGACCACAACUGGACCUCCAGAGGAAGACGUGACUGAGCCAAACAAUGCCAAUGUUGGGAACAGGUUUGCGGCUCGUGCUUGUAUCAUUACUGCUGCUGUUGUUACUCUCUACGUUCUCGUUGUUCUGGUUCUGUGAAAGUUGGGAAAGAUCCAGAAUUGUAUGAAGAGGCUCAGAGGGAGGACGGAGCAAAGUCUGGAGACGGUUUCUGACGGAUGUGAAAGGAGAAUAAUGUCAGUGUGAUGUUUUUACCGGAUGGUGCAGCUCUAGUGUUAGAGCCAUGGAGAACAUGAGGCUUAUGUUUGCAUUUUGUGCCUAAUUAGUUAAUAUCUAUUUUGCUUUAACUUAUAAGGAUGAAUCAUAACUGAUAUUUUGUUUAAUCUUAAUGUAAUUAAUGUCUAUUCAGUAGAUAAGGCUUUGUUAUGCUCUUAUUUUGUCCUGCUACUACAAACCGAUACUGCCUUAAAGCCAUGUGGGCACCUGUCGGCAUUGUGACUUUGAUACCCAGGAUUUUGCUUAGCAUUUUUUUUUUUACAUCGGCCUCGUUUCCUUCUUGGAUUUGCUUUGGAGUUUAUUGCCUUACGACAAGCACGAGUACAGAAACUUUAUGUCCUGCAAGAGUGGCGAAUAGGUUGCCACUUCGUCUAGUUUUUGGUUCACUGAACUAACUUUUGUCCUUUUUAUAAACAACAAAAAACAGCUUCUCUGUAUAACGCCAGUUCCAACAUUCACCACAAACAUCCUCCAAUAUGAUCACACAGCUGAAUCAGUUUCAAAGGGAACCCUUUGACCUCUGACCUCAAGAUGAAUGAAUGUAAACGGGUUCUACGGGUACCAACGAGUCUCCCAUUGGCAGACGCUGUAUGAGUCUGUUUCCAGGUGGUAUAAAAGUUAUUUUCAGCCUGGUGUAUCUGAAUAUUUCUGCAUACUGGGAUCAAUAAUCAAUACUGGAAUUGUGUUUAUUGUGAGUGACUGAGAGCUGAGUCAGCGUCUCUGAUUCAACUUCAACAACUCUUCAAUGUAUUUUAUAUUUUAUACUGUAUUUACUUCCUGUUGCACUCGUACUGACUUCAGAUCCAUUAAACAU